CAGUAUUGUGGGAUGUGGCUCCGGAAAGAAUGAAAACCAGAAAAGUUUGUCUUUGCACCGGUUACCAAGAAGUGAAAAUAGAAAAGGAAAAUGGUUAGAAGCAAUUGAAACUGAAAAUAUCAAGCCAAAUGUAAAGGAUAUAUCAUAGUAUGUUCCCUACAUUUCCCCGAAAGUGCUUUCAAUAGAACAAUGGAUGUGAUUAGUCUGCACGAUGAUGCUAUACCAGUAUGUUUGCCGCUGCAUUCACACAGGGUACCGGUUGAGCCUCAAAUCCCGAACUCAAAAAUGAACAGAGUGAAUCCGAGUGCAUCACCGGCUGCACGAAAUAGUUUAGUUCUAUAAUUAUCUCUGUUAUUAAGUAAUUAUUGUUUUUUUUUUUCUA
Long non-coding RNA from Colias croceus (clouded yellow), 382 nucleotides. RefSeq lists it as uncharacterized. NCBI's taxonomy places the organism in Eukaryota, Metazoa, Arthropoda, Insecta, Lepidoptera, Pieridae. The transcript has 3 exons. The record is from RefSeq and is a predicted model, not a curated record.